Molecule: long non-coding RNA, 2923 nt
Filed under: Sus scrofa (pig)
Lineage: Eukaryota; Metazoa; Chordata; Mammalia; Artiodactyla; Suidae
Description: lncRNA (ENSSSCG00045024794.1)
Source: RNAcentral
AUGAAGUCACAUGGUUCCAGGGGCAGCAGCUGUUUCCCUGAAUACGAGGAUGGUGCUUUGAGACCAACCAGAAGUGAACUGUUUGUACAGAUUGAUGCUGCUGAAAUGCAAAGUGGAAACAUGUCAGGGGAAACAUGCACCCUGUCACCCCAGGAGAGAUGGCUCGGUGGUGAAUCAGACCCACAGGACAGUGGGGAACGCCAGGUGGGAGAGAACAGCACAUGCCUGUAUACCCUGCUGUGGAAAGAACCAGAAAAGCUGAAAGAAAACCUGUGAGGCCAGAAGCUGGGAUGUGGGAAGGCUUGAGAAGGGUGCAGGAGGUAAGCAGUGAUAAGUCUGGCCCAGCCUUGUGGACCACAGAGGGAAGUUGCUUUGCAUCCUUCGUACAGUGAGAGCUCCCUAAAGGGGUUUCCGAAGGGCAGUGUGAUGCCCCUGGUUUUCAGAAGACCACUCCUGUCGCAAUGUGGAGAAGAGGCUGGUGAUGGAAAGGCAGCAAGUGGGAACCCAGGUUAGCGAGUGCUUGUGUGGCUGGGGAGAGGUCAUAGUGGUGGUGGUCCAGCCUGGUGGCCCAGGGGGGCGGCCAGAGCAUGGACAGCACAUCCUCCUGAUGGGACAGACGUGGGGCAGGUGGAAAGACAGGUAAAAAGCAUGGGGACAAUUUUGUCCACCUGCAGGAUCUGGAAAGAGGCCUCUUGCAAUGGGCAGAGAAGGACUUUGUUCGUAGGUGAGCUGUCUUCUCUUAGGCAGCGUCUGUCCUGAGAUGGGAGCCCAGGCUGCGAGUGACUUGGGGGAUGAUUGACCUGGGGGAGGGGGCACACGUUAUUAGAAACCCAGUGGGGUGGACAGUGAGGAGAGUGCCUCUGAACCUCUUGGCAAGCAUCGCACCCCAGGAUUGGAAAGGGCCAAGAAUUCAACAGAAAAGGCGAUCCGUGCGAGAAGGAGAUGUAAACAAUUGACAGAAUGUUACGGCUCCACAGAAAUGUCAGGGUAUUAAAGUGGGUGUCUGAGAAAACAGAAACUUGCAGUCUGAAAUGAUGAAUAAGCCACUGCCAGUUGUCAUAGAAUGUGUGAGGCGCGUGUGUGAGCAGAGAGAGGCUGCGCGGCACUCCUGGAGCAGGCGGCGGCGGGCACGGCACUCACCCAGGCCCUCCUGUAGUCGCCUUCCCUGCUCACCACCUCUCUAAUCGCACACCGAGGCUCACCCUCUUGGCUGGACUGGACAUGCCACAGAGCAGUGUGGUAGGAGAUCGAGGUUCCUGUUCCCUGGUGUGCACGCCCUGCAUCACCCCCUACCCUUAGGUGUGGGUGAGAUUUGUGAUGAGGAUGUGGGGCGUGGCAAAAGGGAAGGGAUGCCACGCUUAAGGACCCACAUCAGUUGACUUUGAGUUCACCUCGGUGGGCCUGACCUCAUCAGGGGAUCCAUUGAAAAGCGGGUCUGGAAGUCAGAUACUUGACAGGAAGUCAGAAAUGCUCUCCUGUCAGUCUCCAGGAACCAAACUGGUGUCAUGUGGAGGAGGCCAUGUGGCAGAGAUCCGUGGUGGCCUCUGGUUGCUGAGGGCCUCCGUCCCACAACUGCAAGGAACUAGGUUCUGCCAACACCCAGCAAGCCUGGGAGAGGAUGCCAGACUCCAGGGAGAUCACAGACCUGGCAACACCUUGAUCGUGGCUGUUGAAUCUCUGAGCAGAGGACAGAGCUGAGCCAUGCCUCUGUCCCACAGAAACGGUGAGAUCAUAAAUGGGCAUUGCUUUAUUCUGCUCUGCUGUUUAAACAUUUAUUUUUAUUUUUAAACGUUUUAUUGACAUAUAGUUGAUUUAUUAGAUUGUGAUCAUUUCUGCUAUACAAAAAGAGUGAUUUAAUUAUACAUGUACACACGUCCCUUCCCUUUCAGUUUCUUUUUCCACGUAGAUGACUAUAGAACAUUGGGUAGGAGUCUCUGUGCCAUACAGCAGGUCCCCGUUGGCCUGUCAUUCCAUAUACCUUAGUGGACACACGCUAAUUCCCCAUCCCCAGUCUGUCCCUGCCUCCCCCCACCCUGUCCCUGUUGGUAAACCCUAAGUUUUUCAAACUCUAUGAGUCUGCUUCCGUUCUGCAAAUAAGUUCGAGAAGAUGUGAUACCUAUACACAAUGGAAUAUUGCUCAGCCAUACAAAAGCAUGAAUUAACACCAUUUGCAGCAACAUGGAUGGACCUAGAAAUUGUCAUACCAAGUGAAAUUCGGCAGUGAAAGACAAACAUCUUAUGAUAUCACUUAUAUGUGGAAUCUAAAAAAAGGACACAAAUGAAUUUACUCGGCUCUGUUGGUGGUCAUUUGUUUUGCAGCAAUAGACCGUUUACAUGGUCAGGGGCACUUUGCUGGUCAUUACUGUCCCCAUACCAGGCACAGGGCCUGUUGCAAGCAGAUAUUCGAUACAGGAUGUGUGUAGAAUGAGUAAGUGGAUGAAUGGAUGACAGCCAGCCAGGAACGCAUGGGAGCACUGCCCAACCAUGGGGUGUCGUGUGUGUCCUAGCCAGCUGUGGGGUCCCAGCUGCCUGCGAGCUCGGGGAGAGAGACCCUGGGGUGGGAUUCCUAAUAGAUACGGAUGUAACCGGAAGUCGCAUUUGGGUCCUGAAUGAGGGUCUGCAGCAGGCGUGACUUUCUCUGCGUUGGGAUUUAAAAGAUGCUCUGCUUCCCAAGCAUAUCACAAGAGGACCCCCCAGACGGACUUAGGGCUCUAGAGUUCCCUGAGCCCUAAGUGGUGGUGAAGGGCACUUUUGGACUCAAGGCUGUGGGGCUUGGGGGUGGGGGCGGGCCCCAGUGGCGCUGGAGUUGUUGGGCAGGGCUUGGCCUGCUGGCGGGAGCCCUGAGGAUGGGCAGUGGGUACCGAUCUUGAUUUUGCCAAGAGCUGGGGAAAAUCUUCUGGUGGUUCCCCGUUGCCCUGGAAUA